Molecule: long non-coding RNA, 1918 nt
Organism: Acanthaster planci (crown-of-thorns starfish)
Lineage: Eukaryota; Metazoa; Echinodermata; Asteroidea; Valvatida; Acanthasteridae
Source: RefSeq, a predicted model, not a curated record
CCUCGAUCCUUUCAUUCGCCGGCUAUUUCAACUACGAGGCAGGCAUUGCCGACCCAGACAGGUUCUUUGAAGUGCCUGAAUACUGCCCUACGUACAUCGAGAAAGAACCCAAACUGCUGGAGCUGUUGAAGUACAGUCAAGUUCUAUUUUAAGAACAUCGGCAGUUCCGUCCAGAUGACUUCCUGAACCUGACCGCUGACAGACUUGAUGUGUAAAAUCUUAAAGCGAAUAUAGAUCGCACAGCUUCCUGAAUUUUGUUCACUAUACCAUAUCAAAGCUUACAUAUAUUUUUCUUCACGUGAUACGACCUUUUCAACGAAUCACAAUCAUAUCCCUCCCGAUCAAAACAAAUUGUUGUAAGUGAUGUAAUGCCCUCGUCAGACUUUAAAGGCCCGCAUUUUGAAGCAGUUCCAGUAAUUACCCCUUAGGGGAUACAUUUAUUUGCACUAAGUGAAAUUAUUCCCCUCAUGGUUCAUUAUUUCUUACUUUAGCCGUGAACGUGAUAGUAAAAGCAGGGAAUAAUUCUACUUGAAUUCUAAAAAUUCACAUUUUUGCAUAAUAUCAAGCAAUACGCAAUUGAGGGAAGAAAGUGAAUGUUUUUCCUAAAGCACUUUUAAAAAGUCCUGAAAAUUGUUUGAGACAAGUGAAAUGAUGGGCUGUGGCACUGUACAGAGGGUGUUUACUUACUCUUCGAAAUACUACCAGACGAUUUCCGAGACAAGUAAAAUUAUGGCGUACAAAAUUAACAUUUAUCCCGAAAUAGAUAUAUCUGUAUAAGAAAUAGAGAUAGCUCUAUUUUACGAUUCGAUGUAAACUUUGUUCGACUGAAAAAAAGAAUCUCUAUUUCGGGAUUAAAUGUUAAGUUUGCUAGCCAUAUAAAAGUACUCAAGCUAGUCUCAUGAACAAAAUACUCAGAUUUGGUUGGAAUUCACCCCUUUAGGCCUAUCUAUUUAAUGAUUACUAGGCCCCGUUAGACAGAACUGAAACUCUAUUGUGGGCGAUUGUACACCUAGUGGAAGGAAUUUCGAAAUUUUAUGAGGGACCAUCUCUAUGUGUGAAGGUUAUGCAUGUAGACAAUGCGUGGCUUUUUGUAUUUAGAUCUCUCAGUGCUUUCAUUUUGAAACAUCGUUAUUGAGUUUGAAUUCCUAGUGGUGCUAGGUAUCACAUAGCUCAGUGGCAGAUCCCGGGAAUUAACAAAAAUUAUUAAAACAGAGGGACAGAGGGGGAAGUGUCCCUGCAUGUUCCACUGUCCUCCUUUCUUGGCUUUUAAAUGUUUUUCGCUGUAGGUGCUACACAAAAGGUGAUUAAAUAACACUCAUUGGAAAGCAAAGCAAUCCCCGUCUCGCAUGAGUCAAUGGAAAAAAGAGUGAUUCUGAAUCCGAAACAAUGUUUUAGUCAUUCAUCUUCAAGCUGAUUAAAACUUGAAUUUUGGAUCCGUUUUAUUUUAAAGUCAGUCGUGAUACUGGAUGGAGUGAACAAUGGUAGGUGAACAGUCAUCAAAUCAGUGAUGAAGAAAUGGUUCAUUAUACAAAAAGGGAAUGACAAAAUGAUUCUAGUACCAGCAAGAGGCAGUCCAACUAAAACCAUGUUCAUAUUGGAAUGCAAGGUAUUUUUCGCUCAAGAUGAAUUCCAAUUCAAGUCUUUGUGAUCAAUAUAAAUUUGUCUUGUCUGUGGAACAGUUGACAGUGACUGAGAUGGUUUUUAUGUGCGUAAACACAUGUUAAAGAACAUCUAACCAUCUGGAAUCACGAAUACCAGAGCAAGCAUCCUUCCUCUUGGGUGUGCCAUAAACUCAACGUAUGUUCUGCCAGGAUAAAUGGCCUAAUGGACGGAAUCAAAGUUAUUUCCUGCGGUCUAAGAUUACUUACAGCCCGAGAUCCACCUUGAUUAAACUUUGGAUUGUUUGCCCUUGCUUUCA